This 344-nucleotide ribosomal RNA is filed under the name uncultured bacterium. Its description in RNAcentral is "bacterial SSU rRNA". It matches the Rfam family "Bacterial small subunit ribosomal RNA", at positions 8 to 334 of the family's 1533-position model. The record is from RNAcentral.
AGAGUUUGAUCCUGGCUCAGGACGAACGCUGGCGGCGUGCCUAACACAUGCAAGUCGAACGAAGCACUGUGGAUAGAGACUUCGGUCAAUUGAAACUUUGACUUAGUGGCGGACGGGUGAGUAACGCGUGAGGAACCUGCCUUUCAGAGGGGGACAACAGUUGGAAACGACUGCUAAUACCGCAUGACACAGCGAGAUCGCAUGGUCUUGCUGUCAAAGAUUUAUCGCUGAAAGAUGGCCUCGCGUCUGAUUAGAUAGUUGGUGAGGUAACGGCCCACCAAGUCGACGAUCAGUAGCCGGACUGAGAGGUUGAACGGCCACAUUGGGACUGAGAUACGGCCCAG